Molecule: long non-coding RNA, 298 nt
Filed under: Vigna radiata
Lineage: Eukaryota; Viridiplantae; Streptophyta; Magnoliopsida; Fabales; Fabaceae
Description: long non-coding RNA (VRAD_LNC015492)
Source: RNAcentral
AGUCAAACAUUUUCAGAAAAGUAUUCAAGCCAAGAGUACACAUUGAAAUUAAGAUUAAACCUAUUCUAAAAAUUUAAAGAGUAAAAGAAAAAGUAAAAGUAAAAGUAAAAGUAAAAGAAAAAGAAAGAAAAACUAAAUCCUGUCUAUUGACAUCCCUCAGCAGAUGUCUGCAAUCAACCCAUGCUGUCAUCGGAGUCCUCCUGACUCUCAUCAUUAGCAUCCUCAAAGUUUUAUUCCUCCAUGUUCGGGGCUCCAUCUGCACCAAAACUAAACCCACUGCUCUGUGCCUUCUGCUCAG